RNAcentral lists this ribosomal RNA (361 nucleotides) under Pleuronema marinum. RNAcentral describes it as "eukaryotic LSU rRNA". It matches the Rfam family "Eukaryotic large subunit ribosomal RNA", at positions 1 to 364 of the family's 3401-position model. Lineage: Eukaryota; Ciliophora; Oligohymenophorea; Pleuronematida; Pleuronematidae. The record is from RNAcentral.
GUAUCUGAAAUCAAGCAGGAGCACCCGCUGAACUUAAGCAUAUCAGUAAGCGGAGGAAAAGAAACUGAAGAGGAUUCCCUCAGUAGCGGCGAGUGAACCGGGAAAAGCUCAAAAUGAAAAUCCUGCGCACAGAGCGUCGGAAUUGUAAUCUAGAGAUCUGAUGCGAAGGCAUAGGCAGCUUAUAAGUUUCUUGGAACAGGACGCCAAAGAGGGUGAUAGCCCCGUUCUAAGCUGUCUGGCCGUAGCAAAGGAAUCGAAGAGUCGGCUAGUUUGGGACUGCUGGCCUAAUUGGGAGAUAAACUUCUUCUAAAGCUAAAUAUUUAUGGGAAACCGAUAGCGAAGNAGUACUNNGAAGGAAAGA